This 773-nucleotide ribosomal RNA is filed under the name uncultured Neocallimastigales. RNAcentral describes it as "partial large subunit ribosomal RNA". It matches the Rfam family "Eukaryotic large subunit ribosomal RNA", at positions 24 to 631 of the family's 3401-position model. Lineage: Eukaryota; Fungi; Neocallimastigomycota; Neocallimastigomycetes; Neocallimastigales. The record is from RNAcentral.
AUGUGAUCGUCUCUCGCAUAUCAAUAAGCGGAGGAAAAGAAACUAACAAGGAUUCCCCUAGUAACGGCGAGUGAAGCGGGAAGAGCUCAAAUUUGAAAUCUUAAAGGGUUUCCCUUUACGAAUUGUAGUUUAAAGAAGUGUUUUCUGUUGAGGUUUUGGUAAAAGUUCUUUGGAAUAGGACAUCAUAGAGGGUGAGAAUCCCGUAUUUGACCUUUACUUUCAACUUUGUGAUACACUUUCAAAGAGUCGGAUUGUUUGGGAAUGCAGUCCAAAAUGGGUGGUAAAUUUCAUCUAAAGCUAAAUAUUGGCGAGAGACCGAUAGCGAACAAGUACCGUGAGGGAAAGAUGAAAAGAACUUUGAAAAGAGAGUUAAACAGUACGUGAAAUUGUCAAAAGGGAAGCGUUUGACACCAGUGUUGUUUUUCUGAAAAUCAAUUAAAGAACUGUUUAUGCUAAGUUGUUUAGACUUUAUCAGCUAACUGUUUAGUUUUGAGCUUUUCUUUAAUGCACUUUUCAGUUAACAAGUCAACAUCAAUUUCUUUUGCUGUAAAAAAGCUUGAGGAAGGUGGCUUGAGAUUCGUCUUAAGUGUUUAUAGCCUCUUGCCUAUGCAGUCGGAGAGAUUGAGGUCUGCAGCGUAGAUCCUUCGGGGCUAAAUGCAUUUGUGCUAAGUUAUAACAUUUUAUAGACAACUUGUUGACUAUGAUUUGUCUUGUAGCUUACUCGCUUAUGUUAUUUUACCUACGCUUAGGAUGUUGAUCUACAGAGCGAGAGU